UACGGGGGGGGCAAGCGUUGUUCGGAAUUACUGGGCGUAAAGGGCGCGUAGGCGGUUUGCUAAGUUGGACGUGAAAACUCUGGGCUUAACCCAGAGCCUGCAUCCAAAACUGGCAAGCUAGAGUUUUGGAGGGGGAAGCGGAAUUCCACGUGUAGCGGUGAAAUGCGUAGAGAUGUGGAGGAACACCAGUGGCGAAGGCGACUCUUUGGCCUGUAACUGACACUGAGGCGCGAAAGCGUGGGGAGCAAACAGG
This 253-nucleotide ribosomal RNA is filed under the name uncultured bacterium. RNAcentral's name for it is "partial 16S ribosomal RNA". It matches the Rfam family "Bacterial small subunit ribosomal RNA", at positions 524 to 776 of the family's 1533-position model. The record is from RNAcentral.